UAGACCGCCUGGGGAGUACGGCCGCAAGGUUAAAACUCAAAUGAAUUGACGGGGGCCCGCACAAGCGGUGGAGCAUGUGGUUUAAUUCGAUGCAACGCGAAGAACCUUACCUGGUCUUGACAUCCACAGAACUUUCCAGAGAUGGACUGGUGCCUUCGGGAACUGUGAGACAGGUGCUGCAUGGCUGUCGUCAGCUCGUGUUGUGAAAUGUUGGGUUAAGUCCCGCAACGAGCGCAACCCUUAUCCUUUGUUGCCAGCGAUUAGGUCGGGAACUCA
Molecule: ribosomal RNA, 276 nt
Filed under: Salmonella enterica subsp. enterica
Lineage: Bacteria; Pseudomonadati; Pseudomonadota; Gammaproteobacteria; Enterobacterales; Enterobacteriaceae
Description: partial 16S ribosomal RNA
Rfam family: Bacterial small subunit ribosomal RNA
Source: RNAcentral